Molecule: ribosomal RNA, 395 nt
Filed under: uncultured bacterium
Lineage: Bacteria
Description: bacterial SSU rRNA
Rfam family: Bacterial small subunit ribosomal RNA
Source: RNAcentral
GACGAACGCUGGCGGCGUGCUUAACACAUGCAAGUCGAGCGGUAAGGCCCUUUCGGGGGUACACGAGCGGCGAACGGGUGAGUAACACGUGGGUGACCUGCCCUUAGCUCUGGGAUAAGCCUGGGAAACUGGGUCUAAUACCGGAUAUGACUCCAUGACGCAUGUUGUGGGGUGGAAAGCCUUGUGCGGCUAGGGAUGGGCCUGCGGCCUAUCAGCUUGUUGGUGGGGUGAUGGCCUACCAAGGCGACGACGGGUAGCCGGCCUGAGAGGGCGACCGGCCACACUGGGACUGAGACACGGCCCAGACUCCUACGGGAGGCAGCAGUGGGGAAUCUUGCGCAAUGGGCGAAAGCCUGACGCAGCGACGCCGCGUGGGGAUGACGGCCUCGGUGUAA